AUUGAACGCUGGCGGCAUGCCUUACACAUGCAAGUCGAACGGCAGCACGGGUGCUUGCACCUGGUGGCGAGUGGCGAACGGGUGAGUAAUACAUCGGAACAUGUCCUGUAGUGGGGGAUAGCCCGGCGAAAGCCGGAUUAAUACCGCAUACGAUCUACGGAUGAAAGCGGGGGACCUUCGGGCCUCGCGCUAUAGGGUUGGCCGAUAGCUGAUUAGCUAGUUGGUGGGGUAAAGGCCUACCAAGGCGACGAUCAGUAGCUGGUCUGAGAGGACGACCAGCCACACUGGGACUGAGACACGGACCAGACUCCUACGGGAGGCAGCAGUGGGGAAUUUUGGACAAUGGGCGAAAGCCUGAUCCAGCAAUGCCGCGUGUGUGAAGAAGGCCUUCGGGUUGUAAAGCACUUUUGUCCGGAAAGAAAUCCUUGGCUCUAAUACAGUCGGGGGAUGACGGUACCGGAAGAAUAAGCACCGGCUAACUACGUG
RNAcentral lists this ribosomal RNA (486 nucleotides) under uncultured bacterium. RNAcentral describes it as "partial 16S ribosomal RNA". It matches the Rfam family "Bacterial small subunit ribosomal RNA", at positions 30 to 507 of the family's 1533-position model. The record is from RNAcentral.